Molecule: ribosomal RNA, 253 nt
Filed under: uncultured bacterium
Lineage: Bacteria
Description: partial 16S ribosomal RNA
Rfam family: Bacterial small subunit ribosomal RNA
Source: RNAcentral
UACGUAGGGGGCAAGCGUUGUCCGGAUUUAUUGGGCGUAAAGCGCGUGUAGGCGGCCAGAAAAGUCCGCUGUGAAAACUCGAGGCUCAACUUCGAGCUGUCGGUGGAAACUUUCUGGCUAGAGUCCGGAAGAGGAGAAUGGAAUUCCUGGUGUAGCGGUGAAAUGCGCAGAUAUCAGGAAGAACACCCGUGGCGAAGGCAGCUCGCUAAACUGACAUUGACGCUGAGGCACGAAAGCGUGGGGAUCAAACAGG